GUGGGGAAUCUUCCGCAAUGGACGAAAGUCUGACGGAGCGACGCCGCGUGAGUGAAGAAGGCCUUCGGGUCGUAAAGCUCUGUCAUCAGGGACGAACGGCCGGUGGAGUGGAAAGCCACCGGAUUGACGGUACCUGAGAAGGAAGCCACGGCUAACUACGUGCCAGCAGCCGCGGUAAUACGUAGGUGGCAAGCGUUGUCCGGAAUUAUUGGGCGUAAAGCGCGCGCAGGUGGGAUCUUAAGUCCAUUUUUAAAGUUCGGAGCUCAACUCCGUGAUGGGAUGGAAACUGGGAUUCUUGAGUAACGGAGAGGAAAGCGGAAUUCCCCGUGUAGCGGUGAAAUGCGUAGAUAUGGGGAGGAACACCAGUGGCGAAGGCGGCUUUCUGGACGGUGUCUGACACUGAGGCGCGAAAGCCAGGGGAGCGAACGGGAUUAGAAACCCGUGUAGUCC
This 450-nucleotide ribosomal RNA is filed under the name uncultured bacterium. Its description in RNAcentral is "partial 16S ribosomal RNA". It matches the Rfam family "Bacterial small subunit ribosomal RNA", at positions 354 to 796 of the family's 1533-position model. The record is from RNAcentral.